GGACUACUGGGGUAUCUAAUCCUGUUCGCUCCCCACGCUUUCGCGCCUCAGUGUCAGUAUCAGUCCAGAUAGCCGCCUUCGCCACUGGUGUUCCUUCCGAUCUCUACGCAUUUCACCGCUACACCGGAAAUUCCACUAUCCUCUACCGUACUCUAGAUAAACAGUAUGAUUGGCAAUCCCUCGGUUAAGCCCAGGUCUUUCACCACUCACUUAUUUACCCACCUACGCGCCCUUUACGCCCAGUUAUUCCGAUUAACGCUUGCACCCUCUGUCUUACCGCGGCGGCUGGCAC
This 292-nucleotide ribosomal RNA is filed under the name uncultured bacterium. Its description in RNAcentral is "partial 16S ribosomal RNA". The record is from RNAcentral. RNAcentral also lists the same sequence under 1 other name.